RNAcentral lists this unclassified non-coding RNA (194 nucleotides) under uncultured Herpotrichiellaceae. RNAcentral describes it as "sequence contains ITS1". The record is from RNAcentral. Lineage: Eukaryota; Fungi; Ascomycota; Eurotiomycetes; Chaetothyriales; Herpotrichiellaceae.
CCGAGUUAGGGUCCCCUGGGCCCGACCUCCUACCCUGUGUCUACCUUACCUUUUUGUUGCCUCGGCGGAUCCGUUCCCUUGAGUGGGGACCGCCGGAGAGCAGUCAAGCCGCUCUCUGGCCCGCGUCCGUCGAUGGCCUAUUUACAACACCCUUGCUGAAAUGUGUCGUCUGAGUGGAUACGAAAACCAAUUAA